UACUUUCCUCAGAGCUAUUCUCAUCACCU
Molecule: small RNA, 29 nt
Filed under: Bombyx mori (domestic silkworm)
Lineage: Eukaryota; Metazoa; Arthropoda; Insecta; Lepidoptera; Bombycidae
Description: ovarian small RNA-21709
Source: RNAcentral